UGCCUCAGCCCUGCACAAUGCUACGCACCCGCUGUCUGCUGCAGGCUGGGGGCUGCAGCUCUCGCUUGCCUGGUGCAGGACCAGCGGCAAGCAGAGCUGUGGGACGGGGAGAGGCCAAGCCCCAUCCCCACUCCCCCCCAGGGAAGGCAGAAAGGAGGAAAAGGCGAGCCAUUUUACGGAGGGAAACCCUCGGUUAUUACAAAGGGAGUUUCCCCCCACGGCUCCAGGACCGUCUCCUGAGUUAGUCGGGGUAGCGCCACGCCGAUGAUCCCGGUUCCAUAGAUACCGAUGCCAUGACAACUCUGACAUCAUCCCUGCCCGGACGGCAACUGCAGGGGAAGCGGCGGAGAGCAGCACGCAUGCACGGCUGGCACCGCAUGCACGGCUGGCACCGAGCGGGGCUGCGGGCAGGGCCGGGGGCUUCGUGCGGCCCCACCACAGCUCGCCCCCAGCCUGCUGCCUGGGCAGCUCCCUGCCCCUCUGGGGACAGGGAUGUAGCUGGGACCACACUGGAUCGCACGGGGUACACGCGUAGCAGGCGUGUUAAGCCCUUGCAAUGCAAAAUGCCCCAAAAAGCAAAGAAUUCUUGGGUGCUGGGCCUCGUCUCCAAGCUCAAAGCUUGGCCUUUUGCACCUUUGUCUGCCUGUUCUUUCUGGCAGGUGGGACCAGGUUUAACUGUUAAAGCUCACGAUGAUGCCAUCCAGUUUCUCAAUUACAGGGGUAAGCACACAGACACGGUGACCUUGAGGAAACAAGAUGCGGGGCCUUCACCUUCAGAACCAGUUUGAGUCAGCCCCAUCCAUCCGGCUAAGGGCUGACUUCGGCUACCUCCACAGAGGGAAGAGUGGCAAUGGGUUUUCAAGGGCACACGACUGCGCAUAACCAGUUUUUGAAAGCUCCCCAAGCUACCCGCUGUAAGCUGACCGCCUGCGAGCAGUGCUGGUGCCAUUCUGCGAAGCAGAACUUUAUUUGCAAAAAUCUUCAAGCAGACUGAGGCCAACGCAUCCUGCUCCACAACGCCUGAUCCUGGGAUCGGGACCUGACCACGGGGAGUCCGGCAAGGGGCGAGAUGAGUUAACGCCAGUUCUUCCAGCAAGGCUGAUCAGAUGGUCUCUGCAGGGGAGGGCAGCAGUGGGACACCCCAAUUUUGCAAACCAAACAACCGCUUGGCUACAGCUUCUACUUAACAACUCCAAAGCCAAACACCGAUGCGAAACCGCCCAGCCCUUGGAACUGCUUCGGCGACAUAUUUAUAGUAAAGCUGCCUCAGAACAGGACAACGAGCUGGCAGCAGGCAUUCUGCAGCACGGCCCAAGGGGGACAAGCAGCCUUCGCCCGCGGUUUACAGCCCAUCAACCGCAGCACUUCCAUACGGCCUGAUGUCUUUUAUACAGGCGUAGGUGGUGAAAGAGCUUGCCCUUUACGUCGCUUGAAUGGCGUGCUUGGAGCAGUGCUUUUGCUGUACAUUCAUUUACUUGUUGCUCUGAAAUGCUUUGCUGGGCAUUCAUUAGGGUUUGGCUAAUACUGCUCUCAGCCAUUAGGCUCUAGAAAACAGGACGCUCAGGGGCAUUAUUUUUGAGAGGUACUGAGAAAUUCACAGCGUGCAGUAACAGAGAGAAUGGCCUUCCUGAUUAGCAAUACCUUUGAACGCCAUUACUAAGAAAGCUACCUCAUGCCCUCCACCCUAAGAGAUCCAAAAAUAUCUGGAAGUUCAUUUAUUAGGUGGCUACACACCCAUAUCUGAAACGCAGCCAUUUCUCAGGUGGGAUUCAGCAGUUACCGUGCAAGUAUAAACUCAAGAUAAACACGCCAUAAAAAAAUGCAGAAAAUUUGACUAACUGAAGUCACCAGGGGAAGAUUUGGAUGGUGGAAUUCAAUUAAUUAAGAUGGCGUUUGUUUAGAACAGAAGAGUUAAUAUCUCAGCACUUGCAUAAGAAACGAACUGCACAAAACCCCUACCGGGUUUCAAAAUGCUUUCCAGUGGCGCAAUUGCAAGCGCGAUGUCUUAUCUGCUAAACUUAUUCUUUGCUUCUUCUCAAAGUAUUUCAUAGCAAACCAGUAAUCGCACCUGUUUCAGCACCCAGGCUGAACUCUACGUGAAGGUGCACAAACACCUCGGAAAGUGCUAGACAAGAGGGAAAUCAGAUCCCUGGCUGUUUUCCAAACUGACCUCCUUAGCACCACAACAAGGAGUCACAUCGUGUAGAGCCUGACCAAAGCGUUGACUUUGGUGCUUGUCAUCUGCUACCUGCUUGGCGUUGUAGCUAAGAAGGCAAGGUAACGAGAGCAGAGCUGACAGCUACAAGGACACGGGGCAGCCUCAGAGCAGCUCAGGCCAUGCUCUGACACGCACAGCUUCUGCGGCUCUCAUUUGAGACACGUCCAGCUCUGCUUCCAAAGGAGCUCUCCCAGCUCAGCCAUUCCGUUAUCGUUUCUCCCCGUGUUGCACAACACUGCAAGAUUCACAGUGCAAGUUCUGGGGGAAAAAAGGGUCCUGAUGUUUGCACAGCAAACGUGGUAUUUGUAGUACGAUAUUGAAAAUGAGGAACACCUCGUUUCUUAACUGAACACAGCAAAUAUCAACCGGGUCCUUGGAUUCUAAAGAAAGAUGUAACCUGACAUAAAGGAGAUUUGAGAGACAGAUUAAGAUGAGAGAUUUUUAUUAUAAUGAACAAUCAUGGGCCCAGGACUGUGCAGUGCAAACACAAUCUCUGUCAGGGAGGCCAUUUUAUUGUCAUCUAAAUAGAAAACACAGGAAAAGGCUGGUGAACCUGCUAUUUUUAUCCCCAUUUUGCAGAAGUGGAAGUGCAGCUACAGAAGAUGAAGCGACUUACCUAGAGCCUAGCAAGAAGCCUAUGGUCAAUGAAGAACUGAACUUCUGAGUCUCCAGCCACGUGUUGUAGCCGUAUGAGCCUCACCUUGUGUAUCUUGCGCAGGGCGUUAUCUUUUACCCCCUCUAAGAAGCACCACACGAAGCACAGCCGCAGCAUCCACUUUUUCACAUUACUGCUAGCUAGAUGUCAGUGAUAGGGGAAGCAGGGAAAGCUUGGCUUUGCCUGACCAAACUUGGUGUUCAAAAGGAAAGUCCCCUAGCAUCGACUUGAGUUUAGAGCUAAAGCUUGGUGUUCUGGAUAAAACAGAAGCUUUGAGGGAAUGCAUGAAAUAGCUGCCUGGUGUCCACUGUGAGAAAGACAGCAAUUUAACUCAGCUGUUUCCUUUCUUGCAGAUGUGCAAAUUCAAAGCAAAGCUCCCAUGAAACUUCUUGGGAUUUAUUUCUGUAUCUUGCCAUGCAGAAAGGCCGGUUGCAUCCCUGUCUCUCAACAGCAACAGUGUUGUUAAAGUCCUAACUGUCCUCUGAUCUUCUUUCCAAACCCUCUUUUUUCCAUAAAGCAUUCAGAGUAGAUGACAACUGCAUCAAACAAUCUUGAUCCUCCUGACUAAAAUUCUCAUGACUGCGUAUGUUUGCCCUUACCUGUGUUUGCUCUGUGCAAAACUCCACUGGUGCUUAGGCUGUAAGUGCCUUGCUACUCUGCUCUCCUCUGGUUUUGUACCUAGAACAGUUCACGGUGAAAGCAAGUACUGUCCUGUGUUACACAAACAGUGCUCUGUAUAAGGAAGUGACUGUUACAAAAUUAUCAGAUAAAGCUCCUUUACCCUCUCCCAUCUGUUAACUGCUUGUUUGAAAAGCCAAGAUUUAUCCACAUACACCCAGUUAUGGGCUGAAGAGCAGGUAGGAAGCAAGCUGGAAAUAGCAUCCAGGCAGCGGUUUAUUACACUUCCAAGUGCAGACUUUAGCUGCUGGCAAAAAAGUAACAUCUCUCAUCUGUGCAAUUAUAGAAGAAGUACUGCACACAGCCACUAGUUUGAGAAGUAACUGAAGUCACCAAAAUCUCAUGCAACACGCAAAAGGACUGGAGCAGCUUGCUAUUUUAAAGAAGUGCAAGAAAGAAAUGGUAAAGCCAAAUAAAUACAAGCUUUGUUGCCCUCUACUGUUUACUUGGUUAAGAUGCAAAGCAAAUUUUCUUCACAGCCAACAGAGAUCUGGGAAGAACACUGCGGUAACAGACAAGAGAAACCAAAAAGCUAGAGGGUACCUGAUAUUUGGGAGGGAAAACCUGAGACCAAGAGGAAACUUCUACAUUGGGAGUGCUGUAAAGGAAACUCAACAACCCAGAGUAGCACAGAAACAGAGGGCACCUUUCAGCAGCAAGGUCACAGGAGCAGAACUCAGCAGGCCUGAGUGCCAGGGCCACUGCCUAGAGCGUGCCAGCUGCUGUGAGCCCAGACAAGUGCCAGGGUGACUGUCAGGGCUGUACCAGCUAACAUCCAUUAGGCCAGCAUGCGCAGACAGGAUUGCCACACGUCAAUGCGAACAGAAAGUUUCAAAGCCUGGCAGAUAAACAUUAGUGCUGCUUGUUUGUCUUUGCUUCUGCAGACAUUAAUUACAAAAAUGAAGAACUGAGAGCAAUGCCAGAUGCCAGUGUCAGGACGGAUAAGGGUGCUGAGUCCCAUUGAUCCUCAGCUGGUAAGAACCAACCUUUGUCGCAGAGUUUUGUGGCCUGCAGUGUUUUCUGACUUGCAGCAGACUACGCUGCAUCCCAACUACCACCAGCUCUCAGCUCCCUCAGCUGUGAAUUAAUCGUGGAUUGCUGCAGACACCCGAGCUGUCUCCGUGUGAGCUGGCGAGGAAACAGCAGUGGUGUUCCCACACACCUCCCUGCGGGACGUGCCAACCCAGGUCAGUGCUCCAGCUGACCACAGUGCUGACCCCUUCCCUCUGACAGUCCUGUCUUUCUAACUGACGGCUUGCCUAUGUGCUGGUAGCUGUGGUUUUGCUUAACUUGCUUGAUUUCCAUUCUCUUAUUAAACCACAAAAUCAAGAGCUGACUUCACACAACCUUAUUGACAGUUUCUACUGACGUGCUUCCUCCUGACUACAGAAAACACUGAGCAGCUCCUCUCCAUCGCUCAGACAAAAAGCCUGAACAACCAUUCCAGGAGUGGAAAAAAAAAUGCUGCUAGGACGGGGAAAAACAAACAAACCCACUACCCUCUCCAAGCCUGAAAAACCCCAACAGGAAGAAAUAUCACACACGACCUGUAAUAGGCUGGAGACACAUGCAAGCAAAGCCACUCCUGAGGAUCAUACUGUAAACAGGAGACUGUAUACACCCGACACACUGCAAAGGAACAGCUAAUCCCUGGAAAAAUGUUAAAGGCACAGUGCUGCUUCCGUCAACAUCUGCACUUGCCACUUACUCAAGCAACUCUGCCUCCCAUUCAUGAAGAAAAUUCCCUCGUGGCUCCCUGCUCUUUGCUUUUAGGAAAAAAAAAAGUCAGCUAUGAAUGGAACCCAGUUUGUGAAAUCAGUAAGUCCUCUGACAAGCUGAAAGGUUAGCCAGGUGCCUAGUACACAGAGCAGCUCUUGAGUAAGUUCUGAGAAGCUCCUCAAGCAGCACCUGCUGCUGACUGUGCUUAUCUUGCAAGGGUUCCUCGUGUUGAUAGGAAGCAGCUUCCCCUUUCUGUCCGUGCAUGGCCGUGCAGCGACUAUGCAGUUAACAAGCAUCGCCCUCCAGUGGGUGACACCCCCAACUGCCAUCUUGCUCAAAUUCAGCAGGAUUUGAGCUACUCCCAACUGUAAUGCUACCUUCAAUGCUGUUAGAAGCACAGCACAGAAAAUCCCCCCCCAGUCCCCAGACAAACUCUGACCUGACGGACAAGGACCUGGUCUACGUCGCUGCUGUUUUGUAGCUUCAUGUUCUGAAGAGAAUUGCAGCAAUUCAGCAGCACAACGGAAAAAGAACCGGUUGCAGCCCCACCUUGUCUGAUCAAUACACACACACAGAAUCACACAACCUCGGCUGAGCUCCGUAAGAUAUCGGCAUGCAGACGGUUGGACGCGCCAGCGCACCGCGAUGGCUUUCCAUAAGGCCUCAUGCAGUAGGGAAGCCAGGAACGAACUCAGUUGCUUUAUUAUUUUCACAUAAACAGGAAACGUAAUUUGAAUACAGAUUUUUUUUGAACUAGAUUUAAUCAAGUGCAUUUAGGAGAGAAUUCACAAUUUCCCCUUCUUUUUAUGUACACAAAUACAAAUAUCUUCAAUAGAAAUUCCAUAUAUAAGAUUAAAACUUUAGAUGUGUUAUAAACGAGCAGCAAAAAAAUAAAUCCUUUCUUGGACAGUCAAGUCCACAGAGAUGUUAUGCCUGAAAAACACACAAGUUAAAGCUCUUCUGCAAAGCCAUAAACAGGAGAGAACAGAGAACUCAAGCACGUAUUUUACCAAAUGGCCACUUAGCAAAGUUACAAACGGCCCUAGUAACAUCCUGGUAGCCACAGCUCGUGGCCUCAUUGUAAGCAGGCAUUUGCUACGGACACUGGCUUCGGUUUAAAGCUCUUCCCCUACCUCUGCACCACUGCCAGGACAGCGAAACGGUACACGCUGGCAGAAGGGGCCUUUCCUUCUGCACAGGCCUACCACCUCCUUGAACAAUACCAAGGGACAAAAAUUUGGUGUUGCCACAGCCGCUCCCUCCGCUUUUGAGAGGGAUACACAAUUUGUUUCCUCUCCACACUCUUUCAAGACGUGGACAGAGGCACGGCGGAAGGCUGCCAUCCUCCCGCCCAUCACCAGCCCCUUGCCUGCAAACGGCAGCAGCAGUCCUGGGACUUGCCAGCAGAGACCACGUGUGCUUGCACAAACAAGUGCAACUCUAACCUGGCCCAUUUUCAGCACUAAGAUGAAAUAGGACAAGACAGGUGCUUUACCAGCCUCCACAUUUAUACUGAAGCAAAUUAGCAAGAAAUCUCAUAACCUGCUCCCAUGAGCAAUGAAAUUGUUGAGGGCAGAUUAGAAAGGAACAGAAAAAUGAUCCCUUAGGACAACCACGUCCAGCAGAAAAUGCUUGUCCACAUCCAUUGGCAAUUUAGGCCAAGCCUGACAAAAGGGGGCUACAGCCUUUUUGUUGGUCCUCACCGCACUAGUGGAUACCUACGUGCUUCAUUUUGGGAAUUGAGUUCAUUACU
Long non-coding RNA from Cygnus olor (mute swan), 7023 nucleotides. RefSeq lists it as uncharacterized. The record is from RefSeq and is a predicted model, not a curated record. NCBI's taxonomy places the organism in Eukaryota, Metazoa, Chordata, Aves, Anseriformes, Anatidae. The transcript has 2 exons.